Long non-coding RNA from Mytilus trossulus (common blue mussel), 362 nucleotides. RefSeq lists it as uncharacterized. The transcript is spliced from 3 exons. The record is from RefSeq and is a predicted model, not a curated record. Lineage: Eukaryota; Metazoa; Mollusca; Bivalvia; Mytilida; Mytilidae.
AGGAUUGAUGGAGAAAGUCAGUUAUUUCAACACCAUCAAAUCUACAGGAUACCAUCCAUCACACUGUCUUAAGGUCAAGGAUACAAUAGGAAGUCAUGAACUUUAUCCUUUACUAUAAGAAAUUUACGAGUACAGAAAUGAUUAGAAAGUGGAAAAGGUACAGAACUGAUUGUUGGUUAUAGUGGAAAAUAUUUGGGGAAAUCUGACUUUACUGUGACCUUAAGACUAGAAAGAUCAGUAAGAUCCAGAUGACCAAAUGCUAAAAAUACAGAGUUUUCAGCUUAAUAAUGAGAUUUUGGAAUAGAAAAGAAGAGAAUUGAAGUGACUGGUAAUCUGAAGAUGUGACAGGAGGCAGUAUAAGA